UACGAAGGGGGCAAGCGUUGUUCGGAAUUACUGGGCGUAAAGGGCGCGUAGGCGGCUUAUCAAGUCAGGCGUGAAAUUCCCGGGCUCAACCUGGGGGCUGCGCUUGAUACUGAUGAGCUUGAAUGCGGGAGAGGAUAGUGGAAUUCCCAGUGUAGAGGUGAAAUUCGUAGAUAUUGGGAAGAACACCGGUGGCGAAGGCGGCUAUCUGGUCCGUAAUUGACGCUGAGGCGCGAAAGCGUGGGGAGCAAACAGG
Molecule: ribosomal RNA, 253 nt
Filed under: uncultured bacterium
Lineage: Bacteria
Description: partial 16S ribosomal RNA
Rfam family: Bacterial small subunit ribosomal RNA
Source: RNAcentral